UCAUGUCCUAAAAACAAACCAGUAAAUAAAAUCCAUAGAUUAAAAUCCGAAGAACUUGGCGGUGUUCUAUAAAAUCAGGGGAACCUGUUUCUUAAUUCGAUAAUCCACGAAAUUACUACCUUUAUUUGAAAAAUCAGUCUGUGUACUGCCGUUUACAGCAUACCUUAAAAGAUUUAGUAUGCAAGCAUAAUAAAUAUCUAAAACAGGUCAAAGUACAGCCUAUAUAAAGGGGACAAUGGGUUACAACCUUCACCAAGAUUACCAAAAGUAAACAAAAGUUUACUCCAAAGGUGGACUUGAAAGUAAUUAUUAAUCCACUAUAUAAUAAUGAAUAAAUCUCUAGAACAUGCACAAAUCGCCCGUCACUCUCUUCAAAAGAAG
Molecule: ribosomal RNA, 381 nt
Filed under: Trieminentia corderoi
Lineage: Eukaryota; Metazoa; Annelida; Clitellata; Tubificida; Opistocystidae
Description: partial 12S ribosomal RNA
Rfam family: Microsporidia small subunit ribosomal RNA
Source: RNAcentral